This 497-nucleotide ribosomal RNA is filed under the name uncultured bacterium. Its description in RNAcentral is "partial 16S ribosomal RNA". It matches the Rfam family "Bacterial small subunit ribosomal RNA", at positions 28 to 507 of the family's 1533-position model. The record is from RNAcentral.
GAUGAACGCUGGCGGCGUGCCUAAUACAUGCAAGUCGAGCGAACAGACGAGGAGCUUGCUCCUCUGACGUUAGCGGCGGACGGGUGAGUAACACGUGGAUAACCUACCUAUAAGACUGGGAUAACUUCGGGAAACCGGAGCUAAUACCGGAUAAUAUAUUGAACCGCAUGGUUCAAUAGUGAAAGACGGUUUUGCUGUCACUUAUAGAUGGAUCCGCGCCGCAUUAGCUAGUUGGUAAGGUAACGGCUUACCAAGGCAACGAUGCGUAGCCGACCUGAGAGGGUGAUCGGCCACACUGGAACUGAGACACGGUCCAGACACCGACGGGAGGCCGCAGUAGGGACUCUUCCGCAAUGGGCGAAAGCCUGACGGAGCAACGCCGCGUGAGUGAUGAAGGUCUUCGGAUCGUAAAACUCUGUUAUUAGGGAAGAACAAAUGUGUAAGUAACUAUGCACGUCUUGACGGUACCUAAUCAGAAAGCCACGGCUAACUACGUG